RNAcentral lists this ribosomal RNA (341 nucleotides) under uncultured Pseudomonadota bacterium. RNAcentral's name for it is "bacterial SSU rRNA". It matches the Rfam family "Bacterial small subunit ribosomal RNA", at positions 29 to 351 of the family's 1533-position model. Lineage: Bacteria; Pseudomonadati; Pseudomonadota. The record is from RNAcentral.
AACGAACGCUGGCGGCGUGCCUAACACAUGCAAGUCGAACGAGAAAGUCGUAGCAAUACGGCGAGUAAAGUGGCGCACGGGUCAAUAACACGUGGAUAAUCUACCUCUGGGAGAGGAACAACCUGUCGAAAGACGGGCUAAUACCUCAUAAGACCACGGGGUCUCCGGACCUCGGGGCAAAAGAUGGCCUCUACCUGUAAGCUAUCACCUGGAGAUGAGUCCGCGCACCAUUAGCUAGUUGGCAGGGUAACGGCCUACCAAGGCUGAGAUGGUUAGCUGGUCUGAGAGGACGAUCAGCGACACUGGAACUGAAACACGGUCCAGACUCCUACGGGAGGCUG